GAUGAACGCUGACAGCAUGCUUAACACAUGCAAGUCAACUUGAACUUCGGUUUGGGUGGCGGAUGGGCGAGUAACGCGUACAGAACUUGCACCAGAGCUAGGGACACCUUUUGGAAACGAAUGCUAAUACCAGAUAUUAUGAUUAUAUGGCAUAGUUUAAUUAUCACAGCUAUAUGCGGUGAGAGAGAGCUUUUCGUCCCCUUAGCUAGUUGGAGAGGUAACAGCUCACCAGGGCGAGGAUGGGUAGCCGGCCUGGGAGGGUGAUCGGCCACAAGGGGAUGGGGAAAGGGCCCGUACUCCAACGGGAGGCAGCAGUGGGAAAUUUUCGAAAAGGGACCGAGAGUCUGAUCCAGCAAUUCUGUGUGCAAGAUGAAGUUUUUCGGAAUGAAAAGUGCUUUCAGUUGGGGAGAAAAAAAUGACGGUACCGACUGAAGAAGUGACGGCUAAAUACGUG
Molecule: ribosomal RNA, 454 nt
Filed under: uncultured bacterium
Lineage: Bacteria
Description: partial 16S ribosomal RNA
Rfam family: Bacterial small subunit ribosomal RNA
Source: RNAcentral